RNAcentral lists this ribosomal RNA (254 nucleotides) under uncultured bacterium. RNAcentral's name for it is "partial 16S ribosomal RNA". It matches the Rfam family "Bacterial small subunit ribosomal RNA", at positions 524 to 776 of the family's 1533-position model. The record is from RNAcentral.
UACGUAGGGUGCGAGCGUUGUCCGGAAUUAUUGGGCGUAAAGAGCUCGUAGGCGGCUUGUCGCGUCGGAUGUGAAAGCCCGGGGCUUUAACUCCGGGUCUGCAUUCGAUACGGGCAGGCUAGAGUUCGGUAGGGGAGAUCGGAAUUCCUGGUGUAGCGGUGAAAUGCGCAGAUAUCAGGAGGAACACCGGUGGCGAAGGCGGAUCUCUGGGCCGAUACUGACGCUGAGGAGCGAAAGCGUGGGGAGCGAACAGG